AACCCGGCCCUUUUCAGGGCCACCCCACAUUAUCCAAAAAGAGCUUU
This is a non-coding RNA of Branchiostoma floridae (Florida lancelet), 47 nucleotides long. NCBI's taxonomy places the organism in Eukaryota, Metazoa, Chordata, Leptocardii, Amphioxiformes, Branchiostomatidae. The record is from Rfam.